GUGCAAUGGCAUAAGCCAGCUUGACUGCGAGCGUGACGGCGCGAGCAGGUGCGAAAGCAGGUCAUAGUGAUCCGGUGGUUCUGAAUGGAAGGGCCAUCGCUCAACGGAUAAAAGGUACUCCGGGGAUAACAGGCUGAUACCGCCCAAGAGUUCAUAUCGACGGCGGUGUUUGGCACCUCGAUGUCGGCUCAUCACAUCCUGGGGCUGAAGUAGGUCCCAAGGGUAUGGCUGUUCGCCAUUUAAAGUGGUACGCGAGCUGGGUUUAGAACGUCGUGAGACAGUUCGGUCCCUAUCUGCCGUGGGCGCUGGAGAACUGAGGGGGGCUGCUCCUAGUACGAGAGGACCGGAGUGGACGCAUCACUGGUGUUCGGGUUGUCAUGCCAAUGGCACUGCCCGGUAGCUAAAUGCGGAAGAGAUAAGUGCUGAAAGCAUCUAAGCACGAAACUUGCCCCGAGAUGAGUUCUCCCUGACUCCUUGAGAGUCCUGAAGGAACGUU
RNAcentral lists this ribosomal RNA (496 nucleotides) under Escherichia coli. Its description in RNAcentral is "partial 23S ribosomal RNA". It matches the Rfam family "Bacterial large subunit ribosomal RNA", at positions 2349 to 2839 of the family's 2925-position model. The record is from RNAcentral. Lineage: Bacteria; Pseudomonadati; Pseudomonadota; Gammaproteobacteria; Enterobacterales; Enterobacteriaceae.